AUGAGGCUCCAACUUGAUACGGAAAUUCCAAGCAAAUACACAAUAUGUAGUACAAGACCAUUCUGGUCUAUGAGUACAACAAAUGGUUUCUACUGGUUGAUGGCGGAAGCGUGUUGUGAAACAUCAGUGUCCAUGGAACUCCAUUUCCCACGGGAACAGCUGACCAGGUUAACUCCUAUCUUUGCGAGGCUGCUAUUACAGUUGCAUGGGUUCUGGGCUGUCAUCACGGUCGCUCCUCUCCGCGCAAGAAAUCUGGCCAAGACAAUAGCCAGGGACAAGCCAGUGAGUACUUUGAAUGUACUCGCAAACAUUAUGAACACAGGAAUAACAUAA
Molecule: ribosomal RNA, 333 nt
Filed under: Triticum aestivum (bread wheat)
Lineage: Eukaryota; Viridiplantae; Streptophyta; Magnoliopsida; Poales; Poaceae
Description: partial small subunit ribosomal RNA
Source: RNAcentral